UUUGGUAGGACUGGCCUGGUUGCACAGAAGAAAGAGCAGACUGUCCCCUGCCGACAGGAGUUCUGCGAUGCACUGCGGCCAAUCCCAGACGUGAGGCAGAAGAGUAGGAGGUUUUCCCCAACCCGACGCCAACUGCAGUCAUCGUAAGAAGAUGCGGAAGCACAGUGAGCAGUCCCAGCCCAGCAGAGCCCAGCCAAGUAGAGCCCAGCUAGCCCAGCAGAGUGCAACAGAAGUGGAAGAUAGAAGGACCCAAAUCCGUCACCAGGAUGCCUAAUAGAGAAGAUUUUGAAUUUAUUCUAUUCUGUCUCUUUCCUGUCUUCUAUCCACUCCCCUCAAUCUAACAUAACUAACCAUCCCAACCCCUAAACUCCUUUAUGUCCUUUCCGAACGAACUUCUUUUUUCACUCAUUUUGUUGUAGUGUUGUUAUUGUUUUGAAUUUGCACUAAUUUUGUGUCAGUUGUGUAUUUUCAGAGACUGGGACGUGGUACGACGCUGGAGGAUCAAGGCCGGCCAACAGAUGAAGAUUCCAUUGUCCAGUUAUGAAGACCGGCCCACAUUGGCCGAAGGAGAAUGGUUAGGCAAGCAUCAGUCCCACUGUGACGUACGGCAGCCUUCUGGUGAGCAAGGAUGGACUGCAGCCAACCAUUGAAGAGAGGAGAUGCAGCCUAAUGCAGCCCUCUAACUGCAGCUCUGAAGAGCAGACUGUCAGCUGAAAAAGCCUAAGUGCUGAGAGUUCGGUGGUCAACUGUGACAAACGCAAGGUCAGGAUGUUCUGGUUUCCCAGAGGAAGUGGGCACUCGGACCUGCCAGAAGGAGUGCAAAGAGUUCCUGGAUGAAGUGCGGCUGACCCAAGCUGUGAAGGUUUGGUAAGACUGGCCUGAUUGCACAGAAGAAAGAGCAGACUGUCCCCUGCCGACAGGAGUUCUGCGACUGUGUCAAAAUGGCUCAAAGUUUCUUGGUGCAUACUGAGAGUGAAGCCCUAUGAUGUGGUGUACUUUGUUUCCCAUUCAAAUGCGGUGAGGAAGACUAUGGCUGGCCUACAGAAGAAGAGGAACAGAAGAGGAGU
Molecule: long non-coding RNA, 1067 nt
Organism: Saccostrea cuccullata (small rock oyster)
Lineage: Eukaryota; Metazoa; Mollusca; Bivalvia; Ostreida; Ostreidae
Exons: 8
Source: RefSeq, a predicted model, not a curated record